GAGAAAUUGAGAGGGCUCGGGAGAAAGGGAUCAUGUUGGAGGGAGCACACAUUGGGAGGGUGGGAACACAAGGACAACGUGGCUCCCACUGAAACCCACCUGCUGCCCCUACAGCCUCCUAGGGCUCUUUGCCCUCAUCCUAUCUGGCAAAUGCAGUUACAGCCCGGAGCCUGACCAGCGGAGGACGCUGCCCCCAGGCUGGGUGUCCCUGGGCCGUGCGGACCCUGAGGAAGAGCUGAGUCUCACCUUUGCCCUGAGACAGCAGAAUGUGGAAAGACUCUCGGAGCUGGUGCAGGCUGUGUCGGAUCCCAGCUCUCCUCAAUACGGUGCCUUUUGGGACUGAGGACAGGAUGUGGGAUGCAGUGGAGGGACACAGGAAUGGGUUGGGCAUGGGAUGGUGAUCAUGUCAGGGCCUGCCAAGACACUUGUGUUCCUCAGGCUAGAAACCUAAAAGGGGAUGUGGUUCAAUAUACAGGCUUUAUGUUCAAAUAUGAACUCAAAUUCUGACUCUGCUACUUACUAGCUACCAGGCAUCUAGUACAACUUACGUUUCUUC
RNAcentral lists this small RNA (556 nucleotides) under Pongo abelii (Sumatran orangutan). RNAcentral's name for it is "processed transcript". The record is from RNAcentral. Lineage: Eukaryota; Metazoa; Chordata; Mammalia; Primates; Hominidae.